RNAcentral lists this ribosomal RNA (327 nucleotides) under Megalobulimus capillaceus. RNAcentral describes it as "partial 16S ribosomal RNA". Lineage: Eukaryota; Metazoa; Mollusca; Gastropoda; Stylommatophora; Megalobulimidae. The record is from RNAcentral.
GACUGUGCUAAGGUAGCAUAAUAAAUUGGCCUUUAAUUGAGGUCGGGUAUGAAUGGGUAUACGAAUAGAUUCUGUCUUAUGAAAAAUUUUAUGAACUUUCUAAGGAGGUGAAAAUUCCUUUAUGUAUACGAUAGACGAGAAGACCCUUAGAGUUUUUAAUAGAAAGAACUUAUUUUUCUCUUCUUUUUUGUUGGGGCGACAUAGAAGCAAAGUGAUUGAACCUUCUUUGAUGAAUUUGAACAAGUGAAUAAUUAUGUAUGAAAAAACUACCUGAGGGAUAACAGCAUAAUUUAUUAAUAAGAUUGUGACCUCGAUGUUGGACUAGGA